UAAUACGAGAGGUGCAAGCGUUAUUCGGAAUUACUGGGCGUAAAGGGUGUGUAGGUGGUUUGUUAAGUCAGCUGUUAAAUAUCUCGGCCUAACCGAGAAAAUGCGGUUGAUACUGGCAGACUAGAGGGUGGAAGAGAGAAGUGGAAUUCUCGGAGUAGCGGUUAAAUGCGUAGAUCUCGAGAGGAACACCGAUGGCGAAGGCAGCUUCUUGGUCCAUACCUGACACUGAUGCACGAAAGCGUGGGGAGCAAACAGGAUUAGAUACCCUGGUAGUCCACGCUGUAAACGAUGAUCACUAGACGUUAGCCCUGCUUAGCAGGGUUGGUGUCGUAGCUAACGCGUUAAGUGAUCCGCCUGGGGACUACGAUCGCAAGAUUAAAACUUAAAGGAAUUGACGG
RNAcentral lists this ribosomal RNA (398 nucleotides) under uncultured bacterium. Its description in RNAcentral is "bacterial SSU rRNA". It matches the Rfam family "Bacterial small subunit ribosomal RNA", at positions 521 to 916 of the family's 1533-position model. The record is from RNAcentral.